UCCUGCAGAUCCGCCGCGCAGCUCUCCACAAUGAGCGCGCGGUUUACCACAUCUCGGUAAGUCUGGAGGUUGGAGGACUGCACCAACCGAAAGAUCGACGGCCGAAGUCCUCGCUCGAAGAUGCGAACCUUAUUCUCGACGUCCCGCACAACAAAGAGCACACAGUGUAGAAGCCGAGAGAACUCUCUCUCGUACUCGGCCACGGUCCGAUCCCCCUGGCGCAUCUCGCGCAGAUCCUGCUCCAUCUUCCUCUUAACACUGACGGGGAAGUAGUGCUCCAAUAAGAGUUCCUUGAACCUCUUCCAAGAAAUUGCUGCUAGGUCGAUGUUGCGAUUAUCCUAUAUACCCAACCACCAGCUAUAGACCUCGCCGUCCAAAUGGUGAGUGGCGAGCCAAACUCUGUCUCUCUCCUUCACGAAGGUGUCGCGGAAUAACUUCUCCAUGUGCAUCAACCACUUCUCAACGAUCCAGUGGUCGGCUUUCUCUCCAUCAAAGAUCCUGGGAU
RNAcentral lists this long non-coding RNA (505 nucleotides) under Ananas comosus (pineapple). RNAcentral describes it as "long non-coding RNA (ACOM_LNC008986)". Lineage: Eukaryota; Viridiplantae; Streptophyta; Magnoliopsida; Poales; Bromeliaceae. The record is from RNAcentral.